UGGGGAAUUUUGGACAAUGGGGGAAACCCUGAUCCAGCCAUCCCGCGUGUGCGAUGAAGGCCUUCGGGUUGUAAAGCACUUUUGGCAGGAAAGAAACGUCAUGGGUUAAUACCCCGUGAAACUGACGGUACCUGCAGAAUAAGCACCGGCUAACUACGUGCCAGCAGCCGCGGUAAUACGUAGGGUGCAAGCGUUAAUCGGAAUUACUGGGCGUAAAGCGUGCGCAGGCGGUUCGGAAAGAAAGAUGUGAAAUCCCAGAGCUCAACUUUGGAACUGCAUUUUUAACUACCGGGCUAGGGUGUGUCAGAGGGAGGUGGAAUUCCGCGUGUAGCAGUGAAAUGCGUAGAUAUGCGGAGGAACACCGGUGGCGAAGGCAGCCUCCUGGGAUUACACUGACGCUCAUGCACGAAAGCGUGGGGAGCAAACUGG
This 429-nucleotide ribosomal RNA is filed under the name Acidobacteriota bacterium. Its description in RNAcentral is "Acidobacteria bacterium partial 16S ribosomal RNA". It matches the Rfam family "Bacterial small subunit ribosomal RNA", at positions 355 to 776 of the family's 1533-position model. The record is from RNAcentral. Lineage: Bacteria; Pseudomonadati; Acidobacteriota.